GGGUUGUGAGGUUAAGCGACUAAGCGUACACGGUGGAUGCCCUGGCAGUCAGAGGCGAUGAAGGACGUGCUAAUCUGCGAUAAGCGUCGGUAAGGUGAUAUGAACCAUUAUAACCGGCGAUUUCCGAAUGGGGAAACCCAGUGUGAUUCGUCACACUAUCAUUAACUGAAUCCAUAGGUUAAUGAGGCGAACCGGGGGAACUGAAACAUCUAAGUACCCCGAGGAAAAGAAAUCAACCGAGAUUCCCCCAGUAGCGGCGAGCGAACGGGGAGCAGCCCAGAGCCUGAAUCAGUGUGUGUGUUAGUGGAAGCGUCUGGAAAGGCGUGCGAUACAGGGUGACAGCCCCGUACACAAAAAUGCACAUAUUGUGAGCUCGAUGAGUAGGGCGGGACACGUGGUAUCCUGUCUGAAUAUGGGGGGACCAUCCUCCAAGGCUAAAUACUCCUGACUGACCGAUAGUGAACCAGUACCGUGAGGGAAAGGCGAAAAGAACCCCGGCGAGGGGAGUGAAAAAGAACCUGAAACCGUGUACGUACAAGCAGUGGGAGCACGCUUAGGCGUGUGACUGCGUACCUUUUGUAUAAUGGGUCAGCGACUUAUAUUCUGUAGCAAGGUUAACCGAAUAGGGGAGCCGAAGGGAAACCGAGUCUUAACUGGGCGUUAAGUUGCAGGGUAUAGACCCGAAACCCGGUGAUCUAGCCAUGGGCAGGUUGAAGGUUGGGUAACACUAACUGGAGGACCGAACCGACUAAUGUUGAAAAAUUAGCGGAUGACUUGUGGCUGGGGGUGAAAGGCCAAUCAAACCGGGAGAUAGCUGGUUCUCCCCGAAAGCUAUUUAG
This 839-nucleotide ribosomal RNA is filed under the name Shigella boydii. RNAcentral describes it as "partial 23S ribosomal RNA". It matches the Rfam family "Bacterial large subunit ribosomal RNA", at positions 1 to 873 of the family's 2925-position model. The record is from RNAcentral. Lineage: Bacteria; Pseudomonadati; Pseudomonadota; Gammaproteobacteria; Enterobacterales; Enterobacteriaceae.